RNAcentral lists this ribosomal RNA (110 nucleotides) under Acanthosepion pharaonis. Lineage: Eukaryota; Metazoa; Mollusca; Cephalopoda; Sepiida; Sepiidae. The record is from RNAcentral.
CAGACAUAUCACGACGAAACACCGGUUUUUGUACGAUCACCGAAGUUAAGCAACGUAGAGCCUGGUCAGUACCUAGAUGGGUGACGGCUUGGAAAUAUCAGGUGCUGUAA